CAGCGCCGCUCAAGCUUGUAUUAGCUUGGUGUUGGGGCUUCGGGAGCGCUACCGCUCCCGGCCCUCAAAUGCAGUGGCGGCCCCUAACGGGAACCUCAGCGCAGUAACAUUGCUCGCUUUAGGACCUGGGAGGGUGCUGGCCAUUAAACUUUUUAGUGGGCGACCACUAAAAAUUUCACCC
This 181-nucleotide unclassified non-coding RNA is filed under the name uncultured Ascomycota. RNAcentral's name for it is "sequence contains ITS2". The record is from RNAcentral. Lineage: Eukaryota; Fungi; Ascomycota.